UUUAUGGAGAGUUUGAUCCUGGCUCAGGAUGAACGCUGGCGGCGUGCCUAAUACAUGCAAGUCGAGCGAACAGACAAGGAGCUUGCUCCUUUGACGUUAGCGGCGGACGGGUGAGUGACACGUGGGUAACCUACCUAUAAGACUGGGAUAACUUCGGGAAACCGGAGCUAAUACCGGAUAAUAUUUCGAACCGCAUGGUUCGAUAGUGAAAGAUGGUUUUGCUAUCACUUAUAGAUGGACCCGCGCCGUAUUAGCUAGUUGGUAAGGUAACGGCUUACC
Molecule: ribosomal RNA, 279 nt
Filed under: Staphylococcus haemolyticus
Lineage: Bacteria; Bacillati; Bacillota; Bacilli; Caryophanales; Staphylococcaceae
Description: partial 16S ribosomal RNA
Rfam family: Bacterial small subunit ribosomal RNA
Source: RNAcentral